GGCGCUUGGACAGAUAGUUGAAUGACCUUUAAGAGCUGACUCGUAGCAGAAAGGAAAGCAGUAAUCCUUUGGUCAGUUUGGUGAAGAGCUUCGAAUAAAGCAGUCCUUAUUGGAAGCAAUUUCUUUGAAUGGUGGUCAUUGGUGGAGCUGCCUAUCCUUAAAGAAUCACCGAAAUCGUGUUCCUUAAUGUAGCUUCCUGUUCACUUGCUCUUUCUCUCUCUCUC
This 224-nucleotide unclassified non-coding RNA is filed under the name Hevea brasiliensis (rubber tree). Lineage: Eukaryota; Viridiplantae; Streptophyta; Magnoliopsida; Malpighiales; Euphorbiaceae. The record is from RNAcentral.